RNAcentral lists this ribosomal RNA (452 nucleotides) under Veillonella parvula. RNAcentral describes it as "bacterial SSU rRNA". It matches the Rfam family "Bacterial small subunit ribosomal RNA", at positions 28 to 457 of the family's 1533-position model. The record is from RNAcentral. Lineage: Bacteria; Bacillati; Bacillota; Negativicutes; Veillonellales; Veillonellaceae.
GACGAACGCUGGCGGCGUGCUUAACACAUGCAAGUCGAACGAAGAGCGAUGGAAGCUUGCUUCUAUCAAUCUUAGUGGCGAACGGGUGAGUAACGCGUAAUCAACCUGCCCUUCAGAGGGGGACAACAGUUGGAAACGACUGCUAAUACCGCAUACGAUCUAACCUCGGCAUCGAGGAAAGAUGAAAGGUGGCCUCUAUUUAUAAGCUAUCACUGAAGGAGGGGAUUGCGUCUGAUUAGCUAGUUGGAGGGGUAACGGCCCACCAAGGCGAUGAUCAGUAGCCGGUCUGAGAGGAUGAACGGCCACAUUGGGACUGAGACACGGCCCAGACUCCUACGGGAGGCAGCAGUGGGGAAUCUUCCGCAAUGGACGAAAGUCUGACGGAGCAACGCCGCGUGAGUGAUGACGGCCUUCGGGUUGUAAAGCUCUGUUAAUCGGGACGAAAGGCCUUC